AUGCAUGGGGAAACAGGGGAAGAAGGUGGCCUUUUGUCCCAUUUGGAGAGCUGGCACAAAGUUCACCUGUGCUCAGGAAGGCAAGGUGACAACUGCAGGGUUGCUGCUCUAAGCUGGAUAUCAGGGAGGCCCAACCUGUUCUUUCUGAGGUCACCUUUGGGGGCAAAAAAAUGUCUGUCUUGGGUGUGUGAAAUGACAGGCUUGUCCAACAUAAGCCUGAGCAGCUGCAGAGAUCAGCCUGAAGGCCUGGAGGAGAUGGCCUGCCAUAUGGGAUUCCCAAAGCUCUUCCUGUACCUAUUCACUGCAGCAGCAACAAUGCACAAAAUGCUGAUGGGAAGAGUAAGCACUAAUUGCUUCUGAACUUCAAUGUUUUAUGGCCAAAAGUUUACUUUCCAUUUCCAGUAAGGUCAUCAUUCAGUGAAUCUUCAUACUGCUUUUGAGCUAAAACCAGGCUUUACUGUGUUUAAAUGUGAUGUGGAGGGAAAAGCUGGAGCAUAAUAUGUCCCUUCCAUGAGAUGUCUCAGCAAGGAGACUUGGUACCUUGGACAUAAGGGCAGCAUUAAUUGCAGUCAGUCCCAUGGGGCUUGACUACAGCACACACAAGAAGUGUCCCUUCCCCAAGUAUUAGGGGUCCAUGUGGAGCUCUCCUUGCCCCUCAGGAACAGGUAGAGUUCCAACUCCAACCUGACUCCUCCAAGCUGGAGAGAAAAAACCCAGCCUGUUUCAGCUGGGUAACCUUUCAUUCAAAUGUCAUGUUAAUUCAGUACUUUUUAGGUGAGGCCGUGGCAAGUGCCUGUCCAGUAUUUGUGACAAUGGCCGUGUCUUUGGCCAGGAGCACACACUGGUAACUCUUAGGUGGCAUCUGAGCACAACAGGAGGGGACAUUUUCAGCCAUCAUCCCUUACUUGCUCAGUGGUACCAAGAGCAAUAGAGUGUGGAGAAGGGCUGGGAAAAUCAUCUUCUCUUGAAUUGCUUGUUUGAGAGGCCCAGUAUUGGACUUGUUGCAAAGGAAAGGGAAUAUUACAUUUACUGAAAGUAAGAUGCCACUCCCUCCUUUCCUUCUUUCAGUAUCAAUGGUUUGAGAGGCUGGACAUUUAUUUUUUUUUAUCUUUAUCUUUAGAGAAGUAAUAAGCACUAUUGCAGAGCUAAGGAAAACAGAAGCAAAGUGAUGCAUUUUGUUUUGCAUGGAAUGAAACAGUUCUGCUUUUGAAGAAAAAAAAAACCCUGCCUUUUUCUUUUUC
This 1241-nucleotide long non-coding RNA is filed under the name Cyanistes caeruleus (blue tit). RNAcentral's name for it is "lncRNA (ENSCCEG00000020828.1)". Lineage: Eukaryota; Metazoa; Chordata; Aves; Passeriformes; Paridae. The record is from RNAcentral.